Molecule: long non-coding RNA, 628 nt
Filed under: Ananas comosus (pineapple)
Lineage: Eukaryota; Viridiplantae; Streptophyta; Magnoliopsida; Poales; Bromeliaceae
Description: long non-coding RNA (ACOM_LNC029195)
Source: RNAcentral
AAUUUAAAUAAUUAAAUGGUUCAGUUAGAUGGUCAAUAUUACUAUUUGAGUAUUUGUGAACUUGUUUGAGUUGAUGUUUCUUUAUAAUGCAUGCAAUUGGAGAUUUAUGGAUUUUUGGUAUUAGAUUUAUGCAUCGUGGUUUUCUACCCCUCGGGAUAGUCGGUUUUUAAAAUGGAGUUGCCGAGUGGAAAACAGUUUUAAAAAGAUUUUCGAAUGAUUUUUAUCAAUGAUUAAAUAGAGUUUAAAAACAAAGCUUCCGGGUGGGGAGCACUUUUAAAUAGGAUGACUGUUGUAUUGUGCAUCGCAUCAUCCAGCGCCUAAGGAGUGUUUAGAGGCAUGCAUCAUUUCUAAGGAUCGCUAGCUGUAUGGAUAUGCAUUGUAUGAAUUGUUUGUGGAUUGGUAAAUGUAGGUUGUUGUUGUGAUCCUGAUGUUAUUGUUGGUACGCCGUGCAAAUACAAAGGAGAUUCUGUCCGAGUGGCCAGAGGAAUUUUAUAUUUGUGGCGGGUCUGUACGUCACGUGGGCCAGGUUGAAUAAAAAAAAUGACUCGUUUUUCGCAACUCCGUUAUUAAAGAUUGUAUUCAUAUUAAAAGGCUUUUAAAAUUCGCCCCGGGUGUGACACUAUAUAAU